UUGUUAGUUCUAAGUGAAUUCCCUCGGUAUGAUAAUUUGUUCAUCAGUUUGUUCCCCGUUUCUUCUCUAGCCUGAGCCUGACACACUAUUCUAGCUAGACAUGGGUGUGGCUCGUAACACCUGAUGACCAAACGGAUCUACGACACCAUCGAAUCUCAAACUUUAACUACCAAAACUAUUGUUUUUCAUCCUCUAGUCCCUUUUAGAAUUACUAAACGUCCUUUUUUGGGCCGAGAUUUCCAGGAACGCUUUCUCGGGGUUUGUGUGCAUGUAUUUCAAACCAUACAGACCUAAAAAUUAGAAGUCAUUCCAUCUUUAUUCCCGUAGAGCCUUCCAGCAGUUCCUAAACCGCUCCAGUCGGAGCAUGUUAUCAUUCUUGUUUGUUCUGAGUGAAUUCCCUCGGUAUGAUAAUUCUAUCAUCAGUUUGUUCCCCGUUUCUUCUCUAGCCUGAGCCUGGCAAACUAUUCUAGCUAGACAUGGGUGUGGCUCGUAACACCUGAUGACCAAACGGAUCUACGACACCAUCGAAUCUCAAACUUUAACUACCAAAACUAUUGUUUUUCAUUCUAUAGUCCCUUCUAGAAUUUCUAAACGUCCUUUUUUGGGCCGAGAUUUCCAGGAAUGCUUUCUCGGGGUUUGUGUGCAAGUAUUUCAAAUCAUACGGACCUAAAAAUUAGAAGUCAUUCCAUCUUUAUUCCCCUAGAGCCUUCCAGUAGUUCCUAAACCGCUCCAGUCGGAGCACGUUAUCAUUCUUGUUAGUUCAUAGUGAAUUCCCUCGGUAUGAUAAUUCUUUCAUCAGUUUGUUCCCCGUUUCUUCUCUAGCCUGAGCCUGGCACAGUAUUCUAGCUAGACAUGGGUGUGGUCGUAACACCUGAUGACUAAAUGGAUCGACGGCACCAUCGAAUCUCAAACUUUAACUGCCAAAACUAUUGUUUUUCAUCCUGUAAUCCCAUUUAGAAUUACUAAACGUCCUUUUUUGGGCCGAGAUUUAGAGGAACGCUUUGUUGGGGUUUGUGUGCAAGUAUUUCAAACCAUACGGACCUAAAAAUUAGAACUCAUUCCAUAUUUAUUCCCCUUGAGCCUUCCAGCAGUUCCUAAACCGCUCUAGUCGGAGCACGUUAUCAUUCUUGUUAGUUCUAAGAGAAUUCCCUCGGUAUGAUAAUUCUUUUAUCAGUUUGUUCCCCGUUUCUUCUCUAGACUGGGCCCGACACACUAUUCUAGCUAGACAUGGGUGUGGCUCGUAACACCUGAUGACCAAACGGAUCUACGGCACCAUCGAAUCUCAAACUUCAACUGCCAAAACUAUUGUUUUUCAUCCUGUAGUCCCUUUUAGAAUUACUAAACGUCCUUUUUUGGGCCGAGAUUUCCAGGAACGCUUUCUCGGGGUUUGUGUGCAAGUAUUUCAAACCAUACGGACCUAAAAAUUAGAAGUCAUUCCAUCUUUAUUCCCGUAGAGCCAUCCAGCAGUUCCUAAACCGCUCCAGUCGGAGCACGUUAUCAUUCUUGUUAGUUCUGAGUGAAUUCCCUCGGUAUGAUAAUUCUUUCAUCAGUUUGUUCCCCGUUUCUUCUCUAGCCUGAGCCUGACAAACUAUUAUAGCUAGACAUGGGUGUGGCUCGUAACACCUGAUGACCAAACGGAUCUAUGGCACCAUCGAAUCUCAAACUUUAACUGCCAAAACUAUUGUUUUUCAUCCUGUAGUCCCUUUUAGAAUUACUAAACGCCCUUCUUUGGGACGAGAUUUCCAGGAACGCUUUCUCGGGGUUUGUGUGAAAGUAAUUCAAACCAUACGGACCUAAAAAUUAGAAGUCAUUCCAUCUUUAUUCCCGUGGAGCCUUCCAGUAGUUCCUAAACCGCUCCAGUCGGAGCACGUUAUCAUUCUUGUUAGUUCUGAGUGAAUUCCCUCGGUAUGAUAAUUCUUUCAUCAGUUUGUUCCCUGUUUCUUCUCUAGCCUGAGCCUGGCACACUAUUCUAGCUAGACAUGGGUGUGGCUCGUAACACCUGAUGACUAAACUGAUCAAUGACACCAUCGAAUCUCAAACUUUAACUGCCAAAACUAUUGUUUUUCAUCCUGUAGUCCCAUUUAGAAUUACUAAACGUCCUUUUUUGGGCCGAGAUUUCCAGGAACGCUUACUCGGGGUUUGUGUGCAAGUAUUUCAAACCAUACUGACCUAAAAAUUAGAAGUCAAUCCAUCUUUAUUCCCCUAGAGCCUUCCAGCAGUUCCUAAACCGCUCCAGUCGGAGCACGUUAUCAUUCUUGUUAGUUCUGAGUGAAUUCCCUCGGUAUGAUAAUUCUUUCAUCAGUUUGUUCCUUGUUUCUUCUCUAGCCUGAACCUGACACACUAUUCUAGCUAGACAUGGGUGUGGCUCGUAACACCUGAUGACCAAACGGAUCUACGGCACCAUCGAAUCUCAAACUUUAACUGCCAAAACUAUUAUUUUUAAUCCUCUAGUCCCAUUUAGAAUUACUAAACGUCCUUUUUUGGGCCGAGAUUUAGAGGAACGCUUUCAUGCGGUUUGUGUGCAAGUAUUUCAAACCAUACGGACCUAAAAAUUAGAAGUCAUUCCAUCUUUAUUCCCCUAGAGCCUUCCAGCAGUUCCUAAACCGCUCCAGUCGGAGCAUGUUAUCAUUCUUGUUAGUUCUGAGUGAAUUCCCUCGGUAUGAUAAUUCUUUCAUCAGUUUGUGGCCCGUUUCUUCUCUAGCCUGAGCCUGACACACUAUUCUAGCUAGACGUGGGUGUGGCUCGUAACACCUGAUGACCAAACGGAUCUACGGCACCAUCGAAUCUCAAACUUUAAGUGCCAAAACUAUUAUUUUUAAUCCUGUAGUCCCAUUUAGAAUUACAAAAAUGUCCUUUUUUGGGCUGAGAUUUCCAGGAACGCUUUCGUGCGGUUUGUGUGCAAGUAUUUCAAACCAUACAGACCAAAAAAUUAGAAGUCAUUCCAUCUUUAUUCC
RNAcentral lists this long non-coding RNA (2954 nucleotides) under Triticum aestivum (bread wheat). RNAcentral's name for it is "long non-coding RNA (TAES_LNC028121)". The record is from RNAcentral. Lineage: Eukaryota; Viridiplantae; Streptophyta; Magnoliopsida; Poales; Poaceae.